UGAGUACGAGAUGCUACGGCAUCGAAGCAGUCUAUGUCAUACUUCCAAGAAAAGCUUGCACUGUCAAAACAGAUAAUGCCUGUACCAUAACCGACACAGGUGGGUAGGUAGAGUAUACUAAGGGGCGCGAGAUAACUCUCUCUAAGGAACUCGGCAAAAUGACUCCGUAACUUCGGGAGAAGGAGUGCCUUAUUUUUAAGGUUGCAAUAACAAGAUCCAAGCAACUGUUUACCAAAAACACAGGUCUCCGCUAAGUCGUAAGACGAUGUAUGGGGGCUGACGCCUGCCCAGUGCCAGAAGGUUAAAGAAGUCGGUUAGCAUUCGCGAAGCUGGUAACUGAAGCCCUGGUGAACGGCGGCCGUAACUAUAACGGUCCUAAGGUAGCGAAAUUCCUUGUCGGGUAAGUUCCGACCCGCACGAAAGGCGUAAUGAUUUGGAUACUGUCUCGGAGAGGGGCUCGGUGAAAUAGACUUGUCUGUGAAGAUGCGGACUACCUGCACCUGGACAGAAAGACCCUAUGAAGCUUUACUGUAACUUGAAAUUGAAAUUGGACUUUAUUUGCGCAGUAUAGGUGGGAGGCGUUGAAAAUAUUCUUGCGGGAAUAUUGGAGCCAUCAGUGAGAUACCACUCUUGUAAUGUUAGAUUUCUAACUUUAUAUCAUUAUCUGGUUAAAGAACAGUUUCAGGCGGGCAGUUUGACUGGGGCGGUCGCCUCCCAAAUGGUAACGGAGGCGCACAAAGGUUUCCUCUGAACGGGUAGAAAUCGUAUCUAGAGUGUAAAGGCAUAAGGAAGCUUGACUGUGAGACCUACAAGUCGAGCAGGGACGAAAGUCGGUCUUAGUGAUCUGACGGUGCUGAGUGGAAAGGCCGUCACUCAACGGAUAAAAGUUACUCUAGGAUAACAGGCUGAUCUCCCCCAAGAGUUCACAUCGACGGGGAGGUUUGGCACCUCGAUAUCGGCCCAUCGCAUCCUGGGGCGGUAGUACGUCCCAAGGGUUGGGCUGUUCGCCCAUGAAAGCGGUACGCGAGCUGGGUUCAGAACGUCGUGAGACAGUUCGGUCCAUAUCCGGUGUAGGCGUUAGAAUAUUGAGAGGAGCCUUCUUUAGUACGAGAGGACCGAGAAGGACAUACCUCUGGUGUACCAGUUAUCGUGCCAACGGUAAACGCUGGGUAGCUAUGUAUGGAGUGGAUAACCGCUGAAAGCAUCUAAGUGGGAAGCCCACCUCAAGAUAAG
This 1233-nucleotide ribosomal RNA is filed under the name metagenome. RNAcentral's name for it is "bacterial LSU rRNA". It matches the Rfam family "Bacterial large subunit ribosomal RNA", at positions 1564 to 2808 of the family's 2925-position model. The record is from RNAcentral.